GCCCCUGUAGCUCAGCGGUGGAGCGUGCGGCUGUUAACCGCAAGGUCGCCAGUUCGAGUCUGGCCAGGGGCG
RNAcentral lists this transfer RNA (72 nucleotides) under Candidatus Woesearchaeota archaeon. RNAcentral's name for it is "tRNA-Asn". It matches the Rfam family "tRNA". From Rfam's summary of the family: Transfer RNA (tRNA) molecules are approximately 80 nucleotides in length. Their secondary structure includes four short double-helical elements and three loops (D, anti-codon, and T loops). Lineage: Archaea; Nanobdellati; Candidatus Woesearchaeota. The record is from RNAcentral.